UCCAUCUCGGAGCAGAAGGAGAUGCUGCAAUCCUCAUCUUGCCAUUGGGUGGAAUCUGGUUUUGUUGCUGCUUCUGUCAUAGAAAGAUGACAGAAAGGAAGAGAAUGACUAGAAGGGAAUGGGCAGUGGCUGGCUUCCUUCACUGGAAAGGAAGCAAGGGCUAUUCCAUUAGCCUCCUACAAUGUGGGAGAAAUAAUCGCUUAUGAUCAGGAGAGUAGGCACUGAUAUCAUGGCCUCUUGUUAUCCUGCUCCAGGAUGAAAUGUUUCUCUUUCUUUUGCCACAUAAAAAGGAAGGAUCAGGGAGUUGUUUGGGUUUGUGCCCUGGUUGCUAAUAUCUAUGUUGAUUCAAGAAAUUCAAGAGAAAUUCAAGAAAUUCAAGUACUUGCUGCUGUCUAUGGUACACAGGGAGAAAGUAGAAAUACAUGAGUUCUAUUCAUUUUGGAUAAUAAAUAAAACCAG
This 459-nucleotide long non-coding RNA is filed under the name Cyanistes caeruleus (blue tit). Its description in RNAcentral is "lncRNA (ENSCCEG00000004952.1)". Lineage: Eukaryota; Metazoa; Chordata; Aves; Passeriformes; Paridae. The record is from RNAcentral.